UGAUGUUUUAUGAAUUUAUUUGUUUCAUUCAGAUAUUACCUUCCUGACCAUCAUAAUAAGAAACUAUAAAUAGACAUAUUAAACAAAUAUUUUUACCAUCAGCAACAAAAGACCUGCAACAGACUUAUUAACAAAUUAUAAAUAUGGUAAUAAAGAGAAUAAAUAUGAAGUUUCAGACCUAAAAUACCACAGUCUUAGCUGCAUAUCGUAAUUAUAAUUGUAACUAUUUCCAGAAUUUUUUUUAAAUUCAUGUCAAAGUUGUGAUGAAAAACUUCAAAAGUGUAAAUACUGAUAUCUGUAAGACCUGAACAAUGUUGUUUUGUGAUCUAUAAUACUUUUUGAUUUUUGAAUUCAAGGAGCCAAAAUUGUUGCCAUAACAUACCUUUCUUCAUCUUCAUCUUCUAAUUCCUAUGUAAGUCAUGAUAAUGCACACAGAAUUUAAUUUCUGAUUAAUUUUUUUUUACACUCUUUGUCUUUCAACACCCAAACUGAGAUUAAUAACAGCAAAAACAGCUGUAGCACACAUAUAUAUAUUUUAAAGUCUACAAUAUUUAACAAGAAACAAAACUAAAAACAAAUAAUGAAAAAAAAAACAUAAAUUAUCUUUCAACAUUUUAAGCACAAUUAUUGGAAAUAAAAUACAAAUGUUUUAAGUACAUAUAAAAUACAAAUGAAAUCAUAUAAUUUAUCACAGAUAAUAAAUGUGGACUUUUGAAUCAAAGUUACCUACUGAAAAAGAGGGAGGGCUGGGAAUUAGAUUUUAAGUAAGGUGGGUGAUAUGUGAACCAAUUUCUAUAUUAGGCAUAUGUAAUUUUCUAUUUGUGGGAAUUUGAGAAAUACAGGUGUGCCCAAUCCCUCAGGUAUAUUUAAAUAAAAAAAGCCCAUGGUCAAAUAAGAUAUUUAAGUGGACUUUCAUCGAUCCAUUCUUAGUGUCAACUCAAAGCAUGAUUUUUUUUGUUGUGCAAGAUGUUAAACACCCCAAACUAACUAAAUAGUCCUUUUUUAUUAAGUACAAAAUAAUGUAUAUGAACUCAUGUUUUUGAAAAAUUCAUGUUUAUGAAUGUUUUCAAUGUUGUGACUCUUUUUUUUCCCAUAACACACAUUUUCCUUUUCAUAUAAGACUUCGAAAGAACACAAAAGGUCAUUUACCAAAAUUAAAGUAGAUUCUGGAUUUUUUUCUUUCCAGAUGAGACCCAAAUCAUACCAAUUUGAAUAUUAAGUAAAAGUCUGAGUCAGCCUUUUCCCGCCAUUUAAACAAACAUUAAUAUCUCAAAAAGGAGCUCCAUAACCUAUUGAUAUUUUUAGCAUAUUAUAUUCCUUAAUUAAUGGUCUUCUGACUUUUAGUAUAAAUUUCAAAUACUAGAUUAUCUUAAAUUUCACCUAAGCAUGCUAAGUACAUCCUUAGCUGAAAAUAUGAUGCAAAAAACUAUAUCUGCAUUAUUUUGGUUAAAAAAUUGUAGGAUAUCAUAUAAGAAAUGGUAUGAUUAAGAGUAAGACAAAACAUCUUAAUAAUAA
Molecule: long non-coding RNA, 1515 nt
Filed under: Mytilus galloprovincialis (Mediterranean mussel)
Lineage: Eukaryota; Metazoa; Mollusca; Bivalvia; Mytilida; Mytilidae
Source: RNAcentral